This 400-nucleotide ribosomal RNA is filed under the name uncultured bacterium. RNAcentral describes it as "bacterial SSU rRNA". It matches the Rfam family "Bacterial small subunit ribosomal RNA", at positions 355 to 772 of the family's 1533-position model. The record is from RNAcentral.
UGGGGAAUAUUGGACAAUGGGCGCAAGCCUGAUCCAGCCAUGCCGCGUGAGUGAAGAAGGCCCUAGGGUUGUAAAGCUCUUUCACCCGCGAAGGUGAUGACGGUAGCGGGAGAAGAAGCCCCGGCUAACUCCGUGCCAGCAGCCGCGGUAAUACGGAGGGGGCUAGCGUUGUUCGGAUUUACUGGGCGUAAAGGGCGCGUAGGCGGAUGUUCGCGUCAGAGGUGAAAGCCCCGGGCUCAACCUGGGAACUGCCUUUGAAACGGGACAUCUUGAGUUCGGGAGAGGGUAGCGGAAUUCCCAGUGUAGAGGUGAAAUUCGUAGAUAUCACGCAGAACCCCGAUUGCGAAGGCAGCUUACUGGACCGUUAUUGACGCUGAGGCACGAAAGCGUGGGGAUCAAA